Molecule: ribosomal RNA, 311 nt
Filed under: uncultured eukaryote
Lineage: Eukaryota
Description: partial 18S ribosomal RNA
Rfam family: Eukaryotic small subunit ribosomal RNA
Source: RNAcentral
CCCCUAGACGUUCUGGGCUGCACGCGCGCUACAAUAAUACGCACAGCGAGUAUCACCGAGCUCGAAAGGGCAAGGUAAACAAUAGAAAAGGUACUGUAAUGGUUAUAGAUCCUUGUAAUUAUUGAUCUUCAACGAGGAUUUCCUAGUAAGUAUGUGUCAUCAUCACGCACUGAUUACGUCCCUGCCCUUUGUACACACCGCCCGUCGCUCCUACCGAUUGGGUGAGCCGAUGAAACUCUCGGAUGUAGGCUAUUCAUAGCCCGCAGAAGAGAUUUGAAUCGUAGCGCUUAGAGGAAGGAGAAGUCGUAACA